ACCAUGUGUUAAAAUCCACUAAGAUAAAAACGCUAAUCCCUCUGUUGCCUUGAGCAAACACCACAGGACAUAUAUCUACAAGUUCCGUCGAUCGCCUUCUGGACCAAUGACUGGCUUCAUGUCUGGGAUGCUUGUCUACAUGUUCUAAUACCGGGCGAUAAACUUCCAACGUGUAGACUCCCUCAUCGUACUCUGUGAUAGAAAAGCCCCGCACUUGCAGGUGAUCUAGGCAUCUUCAGAUUCGCUGCUCGACAGUCAACGGGGCUGUCAUGUACAAUAGCCCCAGAGAGGAAAGGCGUGGUUUGGGUACAAAAGACGCCGAUAAAAAAGUUUACAAAGUGUGUUCAGCGGGAAUGCUCGUGGGAGGACUUGUGAUCAAUAUUUUCUGUACAGUGAUCACACACAGUUGGUAGCCGCUGGCUCGUCAGUCUCGACUUGUUAGUCCUGCAUAGUCUAACGAAGUGAAUGAAAGUGUGACCGGCGCCUGGACUGUAUUAAUAUUGGGUUGAGACCAGUUUUACAUCAUGGUCAACGCCAGUGACAGCAUCACGGAGCCUCCAUAUUACGACUUCGACCUGUCACAGCAGCUCUACCCCGUGGAAAGGCGUUAUGUCCCGCCCUGGGAGAUAGGGCUAAAAUGUGUGUUUUAUACAAUCAUAAUUGCGUUUUCACUCCUAGGCAACUUUUUGAUUGUCGUGAUUGUGUAUCGUCACAAACGCAUGAGGACUACGACGAACUUCUACAUUGUCAACUUGGCAAUUGCUGACCUGAUGGUGACGGUGUCGUGCACGUGGGUCUCUCUCGUCGAUGACGUUACCGAGGGAUGGGUACUCGGGGAGUACUUCUGUAAAUUCAACACUUUUGCUCAUGUUCUCUCCCUUGUUGCCAGUGUGCUGACCUUAACCUUGAUCGCCUACGACCGAUUCUUUGGAAUUGUGUUUGCCAUGAAGGCACAUAUGUCAGAGAGAAAAGCUAAAACCUCCAUAAUAGUUGUAUGGUUGUGUUCGGUGAUAGUGGGAUCUCCUUUGCUGUUUUUCCGAGUUUUAAAAAAACGUCAGUGGAAGGACCAUUUAGAACUCUGGUGUGACGAUGAGUGGCCGGUGGAGGAGAUUCUGGACCCAACCACGAAUACAACAAGGACUGAAAUGCCAUGGCGAACUGCUUAUUAUACGGGUGUCUCCGUUGUGCUGUUCUUUAUGCCUAUGUUGGUUAUGUCUGUGGCGUACUCCGUCAUCAUCUGGACACUCAAAACACAAACUGCCCCAGGGGAGAAUGUGCCACGUAACAACUCAGGCCAGAACAGAGCGAGGAAGAAGGUGAUCUUCAUGUUGAUUGUCAUCCUUGUGGUGUUCGCUGUGUGCUGGCUGCCCACCCAGGUGUACCUGCUCUACACAGAACAUCGCUCAGAGAGGCUCCCGAUGGGAGAAUGGUAUCCGAAGUUUGAAUUUGCAGCCAGGUAUCUUGCAUAUUGCAACAGCGCUCUUAACCCACUAAUUUAUGCUGGGUUUAAUGACAAUUUUAAACAAGGCUUAUGGAAAAUCCUCGGUAUGGCCACCCGGAAGCCUUCCUUCCUCUGUGGAGAGGGGAAGUCCUACGGCACCUACAGCAGCACUGGCUUGACGUCGGUCCAGCUUGUAACAGCGCCUGGUGCGGACAGUCCAGUGAAAGGAGGCAUGGCUGUGACAGCGGUAUAGAGCAGUGAUUCGGGGAUCAUGCCGUGUCUAAAACUGGUGUCCUGCUACACAGUUGAGAGUCAGUACAGUGAAAUAGUCAGUACAGUGAUCACGUUUUGACAAAAAUGAUUUAAAUCAAUCCAAAAAGAAUAACGUUACUACCAUGAUCCGGUACCCUCUACAUCAAAGCAUGUCUCGACAGUGUUAAUUAAUAGGUCUAUCGCUGGAAACACAUUUUCCGUUUUACCACUCGACUGGUCCAAAACGUGUUCAUCAUCACGAAGUGAUGCGAGGCCUUCUGUACGAAUCUACCAAAGAAACAGCUGAGUUACAUGUACAUCUGGAUACGAUGGAUUGGGGUUGGAUUGCUAACAAGCUAAUGAGCUGUUCCAAAUAAUUACUUUCACACAGGAUACUUACGUAGUGUUUACGAUUAGUAAACUCACAGGAAGCAUCAAAUGUCAGAUAUAGCAGUUUAAGUAGAGACAAAGACAGUUUCCGCUGCACUAUGACGAAUCUGAGGGUCAUCAGUUUCAUUAUCCACUGAAUUACAGUAAACCCUUGUUAAACUGGACGGCACCAUUCCCAGUGAAAUCGUCCACUGCGGAAUAGUGUUUAAUAGUAAAUAAUAAAAACAUGUAUUUGAAUCGUACAAUGUAUUCUGCUUUUCGUAGAUUUCCUAUGAUUAUGAUCAUGUUUUUAAGUGGGUUUCAUUGUAGUCUGUGCAUACAGAAGGCUUUGUUUUAACUACGGGGUCCCGACGUUUUGGGUUUCAAUGUACACUGUACAUACAAAAGGCCUUAUUUUAACCAACGAGGUCAAGACGAAUUGGAUUCAUUGUACACUGUACACGCGGAGGGCGUUGUUGUAACUAACGUGGUCCAGACUUGCGAGGUUUCAUUGUACACUUGUAUACAGUGCAUAUAUGUGUCACAUAACUGCGCGUGAAAAUCAACUGCAUCAAUGGAGCCAAUCCAUCAUUCCCUACCUUGAUGUGCGAACAGCUGACGUAUCGUAAUCUCCAGCACCUGGAUAUCAUAAUUCAAUGUGUAGUCAUGAAAUAUACUUGAACGAGAAGCCGAGGUAAUGAUCUGUCUGCCCCGCGAAACCUGCAGAAUUCAGUGCAUAAGUUGAUAGGAUUCCGAAAUAUUGUGUUACCACAACAUUAAUUUAUGUAUUUGUUCUUUAAAGCGUUCAAGCUGAAACAUAAAGUGUUAGGUAUGCUUCACAUUGAUGGGUUAGUGUCUACUAUCAUACGCGAGCUGGUAGAGUGUAAUGUUUUCGGCGAGCACCUUAAUGUGGCUUCGUUUGCACAGACUGUCCUUGAACAUAUUGAUAUUGUAAUCCUUAUAUGACCGGACGAUGGGCCUGUCAAUCAGCAUUACUCUCAGCAGCACGUUCUACAGGAUCGUGUGCUAACAGGAGUUUUCAUUUUUUAAUUGGGACUGUAUGUACAAACGGCGAAAGCCGAAGCCACAGGGUAAAUGCCAAGUAGGGUGGUCAGUUUGUACAUAGACUACUCGUUGUUCUCCUGUAGUAUCAUUAUCUGCAUAUUCCGUAGUGUGAGUUGGGCAUAUGGUAACAUGAUGAAGGCUUAAAUGUUAACAGGGAACGUGUAAUGGUUAUAGAUAUUGCACUCAUUGUUGGACUAGGUAUUAGUUUCGGGCCGCUGCUCAGUUUUAAUUUCAACAGUUCGAUUUACACUUAUAGGUCUAAAGCAAUACUUCUCUCCGUAAAUGUUGUUUCACGGAAAUUGGUAAUGAAUGUAUGUCAGUCAUUUCACGGCGUGUCAGCUUUAUGUGGAGGAAAGCUCGAAAUUAUGCAGGUCUAAGUAUACCACUUUCGGGAAAACCACGAGCACAGGUAUGGUGCUGACAAUCCUAGAAACAUAAUGAGGGCGGAUCUCGGAUUCGAACUCAUGGUCAUAGAUUUCUCACACGCCUUAGGCCCUUUAUGAUUUGGAUGUAGGAGUAAGUAUUUUACUUACUUUUUGCGGUGAGCUGUAGUACAAGUUAAAUUAACAUGUCGUUUGUGAUUAUGAAAGACUGCAUCUCAUAAUAAUAUUUCCAUAUCAACAUGUUUUCAAAAUGUUUAUUUUGUAUAUAAAGUACGCUAUUUUUCUACUUUAAAUGUACUUACAUGCGGAAAAUGCGCAGCGAAACCACCGAUCGCUAUCUAAGUAUAUAAACAACGUUUAAGUUCGUAUUCGUCUCUUUUUUCCAAAUAUGUUCCUAUCUAUACCAUGUUAUUGACCCUCGAUUGUACAGGAAAAUUGAAGUAGUUAAUUCUUUUCAACCCCGUGUUCAGUUAGUCUACUUUAUAUUUGUUUAUGUGUUUGGUGUUUAACGCCGCACUCAGCAAUAUUCCAGCUAUAUGACGGCGGUCUGUAAAUAAUCGAAUCUGUACCAGACAAUCCGGUGGUUGAUAUCAUGAGCACCGA
RNAcentral lists this unclassified non-coding RNA (4113 nucleotides) under Haliotis rufescens (red abalone). RNAcentral's name for it is "substance-P receptor-like, transcript variant X1". Lineage: Eukaryota; Metazoa; Mollusca; Gastropoda; Lepetellida; Haliotidae. The record is from RNAcentral.